CGCAGCUUUGCAGUCCUGUUUCGCUUUCUCACAUUAGGGCCAUCCUUUGCCCAGCGGCUGCCUCUUCUUUCCCAGGUUGCUGACCUGCAGCCAUCCAUGUGCGUGGCUGCUUUGGGGGAGCUGUGGCCGUGGAGCUCAGGGCUCCCAACAGCUGGCCUUUCUCCAUUGUGAACCGAGCCAUCAGCUGGAAGAAAGCUCAGUGCUACCCUCCUGGAGAAAAUGCUGGCUGAAGACCCCUGCUGAAAACAGGCAGCCACCGCAGCCAGACAGCUCUUAUGCCCAUGCUGAGCUUCAUGGAGUGUGGGACCCAUCUCCAAGGGAGCGACUGCCUGGGGUCCUAUUUUCCACCCUGCAGAGCAGGAAGGAGAGUCCUGUUUCCCAGCGGAUGGGUGUGAGGAAGACACAUGUGGACACCUUGUGACUGUGUCUACAGCAUCAAGAAGAAGCUGGUGUGACGUGGGCCUCCUGGAGUGAAACUGGGAAGUCAGGCAGCCCUUGUGUUCAGCCCAUGGUUUCCUCCCCACAAUAGGAGCAUUUGUAAGACCAACAAAUUGACACAAAUCCUGUGUAGAUAAAAAAGUAGAGCACAACGCCAAGGAGGCAGGGCUCCAG
This 612-nucleotide long non-coding RNA is filed under the name Homo sapiens (human). RNAcentral describes it as "HSALNT0047680". The record is from RNAcentral. Lineage: Eukaryota; Metazoa; Chordata; Mammalia; Primates; Hominidae.